Small nuclear RNA from Penaeus monodon (black tiger shrimp), 102 nucleotides. The record is from RefSeq and is a predicted model, not a curated record. Lineage: Eukaryota; Metazoa; Arthropoda; Malacostraca; Decapoda; Penaeidae.
AUGUAUAUGUACUUGCUUCGGCAAAUUGGAACGAUACAGAGAAGAUUAGCAUGGCCCCUGCGCAAGGAUGACACGCAAAAUCGUGAAGCGUUCCACAUUUUU